UGCGCCGCCGUGCUUCACCCUCGCCUCGUCACGAAGGAGUCAUCGCCAUUAGCAUCAUCGGAAUGUCGUUGGAACCGUUGCAAGACGUUUGAACGGUCUCCGCGCUCGCUCGUCCAUUUGUGAACAAAGGAGGCCGUGAUUUUGCGUCGUAUGGGCGGCUGCAGUGUUGCGUCCCGUCAGGCCUUGAAAGAAGGAAGGAGGAUAUGAUUUUGCGUCGUAAUGGGUUUUUGUUGUUUGUUCGGAGCAGCGGCUGCAGUGUUGCGUCCCGUCAGGCUCUACUUUGUUGAACACUAAGCUGGGUGAACCAACUUUGUUGUUGCUAUGACCGUAUUACUCAGUUUUACUCACUUGUGUUUGAACGUUACUAAUUUGCGAUUGCACGCCCUAUUUCAGACACAUAUCUCUCCAGCGCUUCAGAGACGUCGCUGGCGCCGAAAUUCUAGCUGUUUCACCGUGGGUCGCCAGAAGAACAGCAGAUCAUUGACUGUCAAUUGUGCGACGCGACACUAUGUGGCACGAAGGAUGUGUACGUGUGAAAUACGUAACUACUGUGUGCGCGGGAUGUUUUGUAUGAUUGUGUCGACACUGGAUACCACUUUCAAGGUAUGCAUUUUCGGAAUAAAGUAGAUACAUAUAUAAUUUUGCAGUACUUCAUUUCGUGUAUUUUAUGCGUGUUGCGAGUAAGUGAACAUAUGCACUCUUAAAGA
Molecule: long non-coding RNA, 707 nt
Organism: Ornithodoros turicata
Lineage: Eukaryota; Metazoa; Arthropoda; Arachnida; Ixodida; Argasidae
Exons: 5
Source: RefSeq, a predicted model, not a curated record